GAUCCUGGCUCAGGAUGAACGCUGGCGGCGUGCUUAACACAUGCAAGUCGAACGGACGAUGAAGAGCUUGCUUUUCAGAGUUAGUGGCGGACGGGUGAGUAACGCGUGGGUAACCUGCCUCAUACAGGGGGAUAGCAGCUGGAAACGGCUGAUAAAACCGCGUAAGCGCACAGCAUCGCAUGAUGCAGUGUGAAAAACUCCGGUGGUAUGAGAUGGACCCGCGU
This 224-nucleotide ribosomal RNA is filed under the name uncultured bacterium. RNAcentral's name for it is "partial 16S ribosomal RNA". It matches the Rfam family "Bacterial small subunit ribosomal RNA", at positions 15 to 236 of the family's 1533-position model. The record is from RNAcentral.